This is a long non-coding RNA of Mesocricetus auratus (golden hamster), 1919 nucleotides long. RefSeq lists it as uncharacterized. The record is from RefSeq and is a predicted model, not a curated record. The transcript is spliced from 3 exons. Lineage: Eukaryota; Metazoa; Chordata; Mammalia; Rodentia; Cricetidae.
ACUGCCUGAGUUCAGAUGCCUGACUUGCAGUGAUUGUACUGAAAAGAAGUGAGGUCGCUACCUGGACAGUGAUUAUAUAUUUUCCAAAGGAAAUAGAAGAGAACCCUUCCUUUUCCUUUGGAACAGAAGAGAAUGAUUCAAGGAACAGAAGAGAAUGAUUCAAGAUAGCCUUCAGCUCUCAAGAAACUAAUUCGAACAAAUUCUUACCAUAAUGGACUGUGUUAAAUGUCCCUGCCACUGUUUUGCAUGAAGAAUUAUCGCCACCACAAAUCCCACAUUUAUCUUUCCGGGCUUUUGAGUUUAAAAUAUGAUCACAUCCAGCUUGCUUUUUAAAAGAAAACAAUUGACAUAAGUGUACUUCCCACCAUUUUUGGGCCUGAAAAAAAAUGGAGACAACAGAUACAAUGCAUUGAAACCUACUUUUCUACUCAUCACUCCUUCGCUUAUGACUGGCUGGGUCUUAAGGAAGCAAGUUUGAGAUUACACGUGACAAAGGUAGAAGGAUGUGACUCCAGACUCCAGGUUUGCAUUCUGCCUCCCAUCAGCAUCUCUGGGUCUGACUUUGCUUUCUGCCUUUGAAUCCAUUAAGUCUCACAUUAAGUAAAGAAGUCAAACUUUGCCUCAGCAUAUACAACUAUGAAAUGGGAGGUGCCUGUCUUAUGUCUAGAUUUUGUUGUUGUUUUUUCUUUGAUACUAGUUCAUGUAUACCAGGCUGUCCUAAAACUACUGAUGGAGUUGAGGCUGAUCUUGAACUCCUAAUCCUGUGCCUCCAGCUCCAGAAUGCUGGUGUUAUAGGCGUGCAUCACCGUACCAAGUUUUUAAACCUUCUUUGAGGGUAAUAUGUCAAGUACCAAACAGAAAGCCUGAACAUACAGAGCUGGUCUUUGUUCCCUUUUCCCAAAUGAUUAGUCCUUCAACUUUAAUAAUUUUGUAAGAAAAGCUGGUACUGCUACUAGAUUGUCUCCUGUUUGUUCUCUACACCUUGACCUUCUCAAAGGAGACAACAGGAACACACUCCCUUCCUUUCACACUUCUCAUUUUGUCCUCUCCCAUCUUCUUUCCGACAACUAGUCUUUUGCUUUGGUUUAUUAAGUAAACCACACACAUGGCAUAUGUCCACACUUUGAUCUAUGUCACAGGAGGAGAAAGCACACUGGUUUCCUUACACUAUUGCUCAAGUAGGGUACACUCUGGAGAAGCACCAUGGCGCAAAUUCAUUCUCAGUGUGAAACUCUGCACAUGUCUUUUCCAGAUGUUACCCAGAUUAUAAAUUACACAACACAUCCCCUAGCUAUCAGCAGCUGGCCAAAUUCAUCACAGAGGUAGGGAAGGAUUCAGAACUCAACCACGGACACUCAAACAGCCCAGAAUACACAAUGAUCUCAGAACACCAUGGAGCUCCAAGACGAAGUUCACAAUUUUUCUGUUUCAGUGAUUUUUUUUUCAGAGUAAUCCAAAGUAUAAGAAAUGGAUUUUGUUUUGUUUUUCAAGUAGAGGUUUUAGGAGCUGGGAAAUAUAUCAACCAUGACCAUAACGGAGGGGGGGGAGGGGCAGCUGAAGGUGGUACAUUGGUUCUGGUUUCCAGUCUAGUUUCCUUACUGUGCCCUGAGGCCCAGUUUUUCCCUUCUUUAAAAUGAGAGCAUAUAGCUGGGUACAGUAACACAUGUCUUUAAUCCCAGCACUCUGCAUAUCAAACUCAGUCUAUGGCUUUGGGUUUUUUUUGUGUGUAAAAUCAGAUUAUAACUUCCUUCUAACUCUGCAUGUGGCUUUAAUGAAUGCAAAUGUGCCCUUUUGAACUACACAUCUCCUAGACAAUGUGGUUUCUAUCUCAUUUGUGUGUACCGUAUAAUAUGGAAAUAUAUAUCCAUAAACCUUUCAGAAUGGAACAAUUAAUCUCAUAAUUAAAAAAUUUGUUUGGA